GCUUACGGCCACACCGCCUUUGGUUCACGCCCGAUCUCGUUUGACUCGGAAGCUAAGAUAGGUUGGGCCUGGUUAGUACUUGGAUGGGAGACCGCCUGGGAAUACCAGGUGCUGUAAGCU
This 120-nucleotide ribosomal RNA is filed under the name Scophthalmus maximus (turbot). The record is from RNAcentral. Lineage: Eukaryota; Metazoa; Chordata; Actinopteri; Pleuronectiformes; Scophthalmidae.